CUCUCAGCUCACUAUCCACAUUCAGGCCUGGUCUACAUUACAGAGUUAGGUCAACAUAAGGCAGUUUACAUCCACCUAACUAUGUAAGCGUCUACACUUAAA
This is a long non-coding RNA of Dermochelys coriacea (leatherback sea turtle), 102 nucleotides long. RefSeq lists it as uncharacterized. The record is from RefSeq and is a predicted model, not a curated record. Lineage: Eukaryota; Metazoa; Chordata; Testudines; Dermochelyidae. The transcript has 4 exons.